Molecule: ribosomal RNA, 253 nt
Filed under: uncultured bacterium
Lineage: Bacteria
Description: partial 16S ribosomal RNA
Rfam family: Bacterial small subunit ribosomal RNA
Source: RNAcentral
UACGUAGGUGGCAAGCGUUGUCCGGAAUUAUUGGGCGUAAAGAGCUCGUAGGCGGUUUGUCGCGUCUGCUGUGAAAACUGGAGGCUCAACCUCCAGCCUGCAGUGGGUACGGGCAGACUAGAGUGCGGUAGGGGAGAUUGGAAUUCCUGGUGUAGCGGUGGAAUGCGCAGAUAUCAGGAGGAACACCGAUGGCGAAGGCAGGUCUCUGGGCCACUACUGACGCUGAGAAGCGAAAGCAUGGGGAGCGAACAGG